UAUCUUAGUGGCGGACGGGUGAGUAACGCGUGGGUAACCUGCCCCAUACCGGGGGAUACCACCUGGAAACAGGUGCUAAUACCGCAUAAGCGCACGGGGGCGCAUGCUCCUGUGUGAAAAACUCCGGUGGUAUGGGAUGGACCCGCGUCUGAUUAGCCAGUUGGCAGGGUAACGGCCUACCAAAGCGACGAUCAGUAGCCGGCCUGAGAGGGUGGACGGCCACAUUGGGACUGAGACACGGCCCAAACUCCUACGGGAGGCAGCAG
Molecule: ribosomal RNA, 266 nt
Filed under: uncultured bacterium
Lineage: Bacteria
Description: partial 16S ribosomal RNA
Rfam family: Bacterial small subunit ribosomal RNA
Source: RNAcentral